UUAAGUUCAGCGGGUAUCCCUACCUGAUCCGAGGUCAACCUGGGUAAGAUUGAUGGGUGUCGACAGGCGCCGACCGGGCCUACACGAGCGGGUGACAAAGCCCCAUACGCUCGAGGACCGGACGGUGCCGCCGCUGCCUUUCGGGCCCGCCCCCCCCGGAAGGGGGGCGAGGGCCCAACACACAAGCCGUGCUUGAGGGC
Molecule: unclassified non-coding RNA, 200 nt
Filed under: Penicillium sp.
Lineage: Eukaryota; Fungi; Ascomycota; Eurotiomycetes; Eurotiales; Aspergillaceae
Description: partial internal transcribed spacer 2
Source: RNAcentral